This 507-nucleotide long non-coding RNA is filed under the name Nicotiana tabacum (common tobacco). RNAcentral describes it as "long non-coding RNA (NTAB_LNC010130)". The record is from RNAcentral. Lineage: Eukaryota; Viridiplantae; Streptophyta; Magnoliopsida; Solanales; Solanaceae.
AAACCCUAAACUGAGCUUUUCCAUGCAAUCAGCAUUAGGGUUUUAAACCCUAAACUGAACUCUUUCCCUUUAGUCAGCAUUAGGGUUUUAAACCCUAAACUGGAACUUUUCCUUUCAGUCAGCAUUAGGGUUUUAAACCCUAAACUGAACUUUUCCAUUCAGUCAGCAUUAGGGUUUAAACCCUAACUUAACUUUCCUUUCAGUCAGCAUUAGGGUUUUAAACCCUAAACUGAACUUUUCCUUUAGUUAGCAUAGGGUUUUAAACCCUAAACUGAACUUUUCCUUUCAGUCAGCAUUAGGGUUUUAAACCCUAAACUGAUCUUUUACAUUCAGUUAGCAUUAGGGUUUUAAACCCUAAACUGAACUUUUCCUUUCAGUCAGCAUUAGGAUUUUAAACCCUAACUUAACUUUUCCUUUCAGUCAGCAUUAGGGUUUUAAACCCUAAACUGAACUUUUUCCUUUCAGUCAACAUUAGUGUUUUAAACCCUAAACUGAACUUUUCCUUUC